GAUGAAGAACGCAGUGAAAUGCGAUAAGUAAUGUGAAUUGCAGAAUUCAGUGAAUCAUCGAAUCUUUGAACGCACAUUGCGCCCGUCAGUAUUCUGGCGGGCAUGCCUGUUCGAGCGUCAUUACGCCCCCCAAGUCCCCUGUGGACUUGGUGUUGGGGAUCGGCGAGGCUGGUUUUCCAGCACAGCCGUCCCUUAAAUUAAUUGGCGGUCUCGCCGUGGCCCUCCUCUGCGCAGUAGUAAAACACUCGCAACAGGAGCCCGGCGCGGUCCACUGCCGUAAAACCCCCCAACUUUUUAUAGUUGACCUCGAAUCAGGUAGGACUACCCGCUGAACUUAAGCAUAUCAAUAAGCGGAGGA
This 358-nucleotide unclassified non-coding RNA is filed under the name soil metagenome. Its description in RNAcentral is "partial contains 5.8S ribosomal RNA, internal transcribed spacer 2, and large subunit ribosomal RNA". The stretch from base 1 to 120 matches the Rfam family "5.8S ribosomal RNA", at positions 35 to 154 of the family's 154-position model. The record is from RNAcentral.